UGUGGGCAAGCUCACAUUAGCAAUGAGCUC
RNAcentral lists this non-coding RNA (30 nucleotides) under Callithrix jacchus (white-tufted-ear marmoset). The record is from RNAcentral. Lineage: Eukaryota; Metazoa; Chordata; Mammalia; Primates; Cebidae. RNAcentral also lists the same sequence under 1 other name.